This 62-nucleotide small RNA is filed under the name Salmonella enterica. RNAcentral describes it as "partial RtT sRNA". It matches the Rfam family "RtT RNA", at positions 1 to 62 of the family's 130-position model. From Rfam's summary of the family: This family represents a bacterial cis-regulatory element known as RtT RNA. RNAcentral also lists the same sequence under 3 other names. The record is from RNAcentral. Lineage: Bacteria; Pseudomonadati; Pseudomonadota; Gammaproteobacteria; Enterobacterales; Enterobacteriaceae.
UAUCUCUCCGUACGGGGAAGGAUGAGAAGCUUCGACUAAGGUUCGAUUCGAGCGCAGCGAGA